This 433-nucleotide ribosomal RNA is filed under the name uncultured bacterium. RNAcentral describes it as "partial 16S ribosomal RNA". It matches the Rfam family "Bacterial small subunit ribosomal RNA", at positions 29 to 507 of the family's 1533-position model. The record is from RNAcentral.
AACGAACGCUGGCGGCAUGCCUAACACAUGCAAGUCGAACGAGACCUUCGGGUCUAGUGGCGCACGGGUGCGUAACGCGUGGGAACCUGCCCUUAGGUUCGGAAUAACUCCCCGAAAGGGGUGCUAAUACCGGAUAAUGUCUUCGGACCAAAGAUUUAUCGCCUUUGGAUGGGCCCGCGUUGGAUUAGCUAGUUGGUAGGGUAAAAGCCUACCAAGGCGACGAUCCAUAGCUGGUCUGAGAGGAUGAUCAGCCACACUGGGACUGAGACACGGCCCAGACUCCUACGGGAGGCAGCAGUGGGGAAUAUUGGACAAGGGGCGCAAGCCUGAUCCAGCAAUGCCGCGUGAGUGAUGAUGGCCUUAGGGUUGUAAAGCUCUUUUACCCGAGAUGAUAAUGACGGUACCGGGAGAAUAAGCUCCGGCUAACUCCGUG